Molecule: non-coding RNA, 225 nt
Organism: Vicia faba (fava bean)
Lineage: Eukaryota; Viridiplantae; Streptophyta; Magnoliopsida; Fabales; Fabaceae
Source: the annotation of a GenBank genome assembly
AUGUUUCAUUUGUUUUUUUUUCUCGAGUCUGUUACAGGUCGAAGAAAGCAAAAACAGAAGCCCACCGCCGGUUUGCCCGCAACCUCUGCAGCCAUUCACAACAAAUCCUCCGCUCACUAUUGUGUGCCGUGGAUUCUGCUCCACCACCGGUUCUCGAAGUGCCACCGCGAGUUGAUUGAGUUUUUUUCUAAGAAAGAAGAAGGUAAAGAAAGUGAAGGGACGUGA